RNAcentral lists this ribosomal RNA (772 nucleotides) under uncultured Neocallimastigales. RNAcentral's name for it is "partial large subunit ribosomal RNA". It matches the Rfam family "Eukaryotic large subunit ribosomal RNA", at positions 22 to 635 of the family's 3401-position model. The record is from RNAcentral. Lineage: Eukaryota; Fungi; Neocallimastigomycota; Neocallimastigomycetes; Neocallimastigales.
GCAUCUGUGCAUGCAGCAUAUAAUAAGCGGAGGAAAAGAAACUAACAGGGAUUCCCCUAGUAACGGCGAGUGAAGCGGGAAGAGCUCAAAUUUGAAAUCUUAAAGGGUUUCCCUUUACGAAUUGUAGUUUAAAGAAGUGUUUUCUGUUGAGGUUUUGGUAAAAGUUCUUUGGAAUAGGACAUCAUAGAGGGUGAGAAUCCCGUAUUUGACCUUUACUUUCAACUUUGUGAUACACUUUCAAAGAGUCGGAUUGUUUGGGAAUGCAGUCCAAAAUGGGUGGUAAAUUUCAUCUAAAGCUAAAUAUUGGCGAGAGACCGAUAGCGAACAAGUACCGUGAGGGAAAGAUGAAAAGAACUUUGAAAAGAGAGUUAAACAGUACGUGAAAUUGUCAAAAGGGAAGCGUUUGACACCAGUGUUGUUUUUCUGAAAAUCAAUUAAAGAACUGUUUAUGCUAAGUUGUUUAGACUUUAUCAGCUAACUGUUUAGUUUUGAGCUUUUCUUUAAUGCACUUUUCAGUUAACAAGUCAACAUCAAUUUCUUUUGCUGUAAAAAAGCUUGAGGAAGGUGGCUUGAGAUUCGUCUUAAGUGUUUAUAGCCUCUUGCCUAUGCAGUCGGAGAGAUUGAGGUCUGCAGCGUAGAUCCUUCGGGGCUAAAUGCAUUUGUGCUAAGUUAUAGCAUUUUAUAGACAACUUGUUGACUAUGAUUUGUCUUGUAGCUUACUCGCUUAUGUUAUUUUACCUACGCUUAGGAUGUUGAAGAUGUAGCACAUCAU